UUAAUAAACCAUAAUAAAAUAAACAAAUAAAAUAAAUGAGUAAGUAUAUUCCACAUUUUUCUGGGGACCAGCGAAAUUUUCUCGCGGACCACCACUGAUCUAAACAGUAUCUGAACUUUAAUGCUGCUAUAAGUUUUCCCAUAAUUGCAACAAAUAUAUAAAUUUAUUGUUUUACUAAGAAGUUAAAAAUAAAACAAUUCAUAAAUAUUUUGACGUAUUAAAAAAUAAACAUCUUUUAUUUAUGUAUUUAGUUGUUUUGAAUAUUGUAAAUUUAUUAUGCUUUCCAUUUAUUAUUAUUUUUCGUAUUUUAAUAAUUAGAUGGCAUUUUUCAAUAUUACAUUUUAGAAUUUUGAAAUAUUUAAACCAAUCAAUAAAAAAUGCUUUUGAUAAUUUAUUAUUAUUUAACAAAAAUUAUCAGAAAAAAUUUUACUGUAAUGGAAACUCAUCAUUGUUUAUAAACAUUGAUAAGGAAAAGAAAGUUGAUGAGAACAAAUGGGAAAUAUGAAGAUUUAAAAUGAAUAAUUGGUAAUAACACUGGAUGCACUGAAUGAUGAACAUUUUCCAGUGAGCUGUGGCAUCACAAACAUAAGGAGACAAUAUAGAAUAUCCUUUAGUCUGUCCAAUAAACAAGAUUAUUGAGCAUAGACUGUAAACAUCAAUGAUAGCGGAAGUUAUCUUAGAUCUUUCACUUUUCUAAUCUAUUUUUCUUCGUAUUGGUCAGAAAUGUAAGAUUUUACUGUGUUUAUGAAUCAUUUCAUAUAAUAAUAGUAAAAUUUGUAUAUACAAUGAAUGUCAUUAUAACAAAAGCCCCCAGUAUAAUGAAAUUUUCAGUAUUAGCAAACUUUUUUUUAAUUCCUG
Molecule: long non-coding RNA, 858 nt
Filed under: Androctonus crassicauda
Lineage: Eukaryota; Metazoa; Arthropoda; Arachnida; Scorpiones; Buthidae
Source: RNAcentral